CCUACGGGGGGCUGCAGUGAGGAAUAUUGGUCAAUGGACGCAAGUCUGAACCAGCCAUGCCGCGUGCAGGAAGACGGCUCUAUGAGUUGUAAACUGCUUUUGUACGAGGGUAAACGCAGAUACGCGUAUCUGUCUGAAAGUAUCGUACGAAUAAGGAUCGGCUAACUCCGUGCCAGCAGCCGCGGUAAUACGGAGGAUUCAAGCGUUAUCCGGAUUUAUUGGGUUUAAAGGGUGCGUAGGCGGUCGGAUAAGUUAGCGGUGAAAUCCCGAGGCUCAACUUCGGAAUUGCCUCUGAUACUGUUCGGCUAGAGAGUAGUUGCGGUAGGCGGAAUGUAUGGUGUAGCGGUGAAAUGCUUAGAGAUCAUACAGAACACCGAUUGCGAAGGCAGCUUACCAAGCUACUUCUGACGUUGAGGCACGAAAGCGUGGGGAGCGAACAGGAUUAGAUACCCCUGUAGUC
Molecule: ribosomal RNA, 460 nt
Filed under: uncultured bacterium
Lineage: Bacteria
Description: partial 16S ribosomal RNA
Rfam family: Bacterial small subunit ribosomal RNA
Source: RNAcentral